RNAcentral lists this long non-coding RNA (379 nucleotides) under Theobroma cacao (cacao). RNAcentral's name for it is "long non-coding RNA (TCAC_LNC005995)". Lineage: Eukaryota; Viridiplantae; Streptophyta; Magnoliopsida; Malvales; Malvaceae. The record is from RNAcentral.
AGAACAGUGCAUAUCAAGAAGCAAUAAAAGAGCUAGUUUUAAUCAUUUAAGCACAUAAAGCCACGAGACUAUAAGCAUUUAUUUCAAUAGUAAUGAAACAAGAUAAUAUUUUCCAUCUGCUAGUUUGAAGAAAGAAGCAAAGCUACUGGUUGCAUCAUAUAUUUUUAAUUCGUUAUAUGUCACGACCCGAAACUCCUUAUCGAGCCUGUGACAACCGUCGUGAAGCCUCGACAGACAUUCUUCAUCCCGAAUGCCGAUUGAAACCUCGCAAAGCUCUCGUAUCAGCUUUUGCACUUUUUCGGUGAGCAAUAGUUAUCAAAUAUCGUAAUUUGAAGGAUUACGAGUCAUUUCCAAAUCAAAACAUAACAUAUUGUUUUCU